UACGUAGGGCGCAAGCGUUGUCCGGAAUUAUUGGGCGUAAAGAGCUCGUAGGCGGUUUGUCGCGUCUGCUGUGAAAUCCCGAGGCUCAACCUCGGGCUUGCAGUGGGUACGGGCAGACUAGAGUGCGGUAGGGGAGAUUGGAAUUCCUGGUGUAGCGGUGGAAUGCGCAGAUAUCAGGAGGAACACCGAUGGCGAAGGCAGAUCUCUGGGCCGUAACUGACGCUGAGGAGCGAAAGGGUGGGGAGCAAACAGG
This 253-nucleotide ribosomal RNA is filed under the name uncultured bacterium. Its description in RNAcentral is "partial 16S ribosomal RNA". It matches the Rfam family "Bacterial small subunit ribosomal RNA", at positions 524 to 776 of the family's 1533-position model. The record is from RNAcentral.